RNAcentral lists this ribosomal RNA (723 nucleotides) under uncultured bacterium. RNAcentral's name for it is "bacterial SSU rRNA". It matches the Rfam family "Bacterial small subunit ribosomal RNA", at positions 781 to 1510 of the family's 1533-position model. The record is from RNAcentral.
GAUACCCUGGUAGUUCACGCCCUAAAGAUGUCGACUAGUUGUUUGGACGGGUUACUGUUCAGUAACGUAGCUAACGCGUGAGUCGACCGCCUGGGGAGUACGGCCGCAAGGUUAAAACUCAAAGGAAUUGACGGGGACCCGCACAAGCGGUGGAUGAUGUGGUUUAAUUCGAUGCAACGCGAAAAACCUUACCUACCCUUGACAUGCCAGGAACUUACCAGAGAUGGUUUGGUGCUCGAAAGAGAGCCUGGACACAGGUGCUGCAUGGCUGUCGUCAGCUCGUGUCGUGAGAUGUUGGGUUAAGUCCCGCAACGAGCGCAACCCUUGUCAUUAGUUGCUACGCAAGAGCACUCUAAUGAGACCGCCGGUGACAAACCGGAGGAAGGUGGGGAUGACGUCAAGUCCUCAUGGCCCUUAUGGGUAGGGCUACACACGUCAUACAAUGGGCGGUACAGAGGGUUGCCAACCCGCGAGGGGGAGCCAAUCCCUUAAAACCGCUCGUAGUCCGGAUUGUAGUCUGCAACUCGACUGCAUGAAGUCGGAAUCGCUAGUAAUCGCGGAUCAGCUUGCCGCGGUGAAUACGUUCCCGGGUCUUGUACACACCGCCCGUCACACCAUGGAAGUGGGGUUUACCAGAAGUAGUUAGCUUAACCGCAAGGGGGGCGAUUACCACGGUAGGCUUCAUGACUGGGGUGAAGUGGUAACAAUGAGGACACAGGCGAA